This 484-nucleotide ribosomal RNA is filed under the name uncultured bacterium. RNAcentral describes it as "partial 16S ribosomal RNA". It matches the Rfam family "Bacterial small subunit ribosomal RNA", at positions 30 to 507 of the family's 1533-position model. The record is from RNAcentral.
AUUGAACGCUGGCGGCAGGCCUAACACAUGCAAGUCGAGCGGAUGAAGGGAGCUUGCUCCUGGAUUCAGCGGCGGACGGGUGAGUAAUGCCUAGGAAUCUGCCUGGUAGUGGGGGAUAACGUCCGGAAACGGGCGCUAAUACCGCAUACGUCCUGAGGGAGAAAGUGGGGGAUCUUCGGACCUCACGCUAUCAGAUGAGCCUAGGUCGGAUUUGCUAGUUGGUGGGGUAAAGGCCUACCAAGGCGACGAUCCGUAACUGGUCUGAGAGGAUGAUCAGUCACACUGGAACUGAAACACGGUCCAGAGUCCUACGGGAGGCAGCAGUGUGGAAUAUUGGGCAAGAGGCGAAAGCCUGAUCCAGUCAUGCCGCGUGUGUUAAGAAGGUCUUCGGAUUGUAAAGCAAUUUAAGUUGGGAGGAAGGGCAGUAAGUUAAUACCUUGCUGUUUUGACGUUACCAACAGAAUAAGCACCGGCUAACUUCGUG